UCAGUAGCCGCGGGAAUACGGAGGAUCCAAGCGUUAUCCGGAAUCAUUGGGUUUAAAGGGUCCGUAGGCGGUCUUGUAAGUCAGUGGUGAAAGCCCAUCGCUCAACGGUGGAACGGCCAUUGAUACUGCAGGACUUGAAUUAUUGGGAAGUAACUAGAAUAUGUAGUGUAGCGGUGAAAUGCUUAGAGAUUACAUGGAAUACCAAUUGCGAAGGCAGGUUACUACCAAUUGAUUGACGCUGAUGGACGAAAGCGUGGGUAGCGAACAGGAUUAGAUACCCCGGUAGUCCCUGUCUCUUAUAC
Molecule: ribosomal RNA, 302 nt
Filed under: uncultured bacterium
Lineage: Bacteria
Description: partial 16S ribosomal RNA
Rfam family: Bacterial small subunit ribosomal RNA
Source: RNAcentral